GAGCUCAACUUUGGAAUCGCUCCGGCGAGUUGUAGUCUGGAGGUGGCCACCACGAGGUGUUCUAGCAGCAGGCAAGUCCUUUGGAACAAGGCGCCAGCGAGGGUGACAGCCCCGUACCUGCUUUUGCUAGUGCUUCCUGUGGCCCACCGACGAGUCGAGUUGUUUGGGAAUGCAGCUCUAAGUGGGUGGUAAAUUCCAUCUAAGGCUAAAUAUUGGCGAGAGACCGAUAGCGAACAAGUACAGUGAUGGAAAGAUGAAAAGCACUUUGAAAAGAGAGUGAAACAGUACGUGAAAUUGUUGAAAGGGAAGGGCUUGCACCCAGACACGGUUUCGGCCGGGCCAGCAUCAAGUAGAACGGGGUUAAAAGACUUGGGGAAUGUAGCUACUUCGGUAGUGUUAUAGCCCUUGGUGAUGACCCCUGUUUUGCUUGAGGACAGC
This 438-nucleotide ribosomal RNA is filed under the name Candidozyma auris. RNAcentral describes it as "[Candida] auris partial large subunit ribosomal RNA". It matches the Rfam family "Eukaryotic large subunit ribosomal RNA", at positions 104 to 552 of the family's 3401-position model. The record is from RNAcentral. Lineage: Eukaryota; Fungi; Ascomycota; Pichiomycetes; Serinales; Metschnikowiaceae.